GUAACUUCAGCAGCACAUUUACUAAAAUUAGAACGACACAGAAAUUAGCAUGGCCCCUGCACAGGCAGGACAUCCAAACUCACGAAGCCAUCCUUACUUAU
RNAcentral lists this small nuclear RNA (101 nucleotides) under Dasypus novemcinctus (nine-banded armadillo). Lineage: Eukaryota; Metazoa; Chordata; Mammalia; Cingulata; Dasypodidae. The record is from RNAcentral.